UUAAAUAUAUACAUCUAUGUAUUUACUUUUUUACGUUGCGCGUAGGCAUCAUUAUUUAAAUCAUUACAUUUUUGGUGAUAUAUACAUACAUGUGUAUAUAUAUUUUUUUAACCAAUUCUAUGCAUAUACAUAAUUUCAUUUCAGUUUUCAGAAAACGCUUGUAUUAACAAAAAAAACAUAUUUAGUUAUGUAUUCUUAUUUGUGUACAAUUUUAAAUAAAUAUUAUUUUUUAUGUUUUAAUUAAAAGACAAUCAUCCCAAAAAAAAAAAAAAAAAAAAAAAAAAAAAAAAAAAAAAAAAAAAAAAAGAAUGCACACAAAAAUAUUCACAUAUAUAUGCAAUAUAUGCAUAUAUAUAUAAAAGUAUAUUUUUUUUUUUUUUUUUUUUUUGUCAAUAUUCUUAUAAAAGCAAGCAAAAAAAAAAAAAAAAAAAAAAAAAAAAAACAUUGAUGAUGAAAAUUAUGCAAAACCAAUGGAUGUAACAAAAGCAUUAAGAUGCUUUACGUUAUAUACUAAGACCUAAUUUCCCUCAUGUAUUGUUUUUACAUAUUUUAUCUUCUUCCCAUCUUUCUAUCUUUUCUUUUCUCUCGCUAUAAAUAUAAUUAGCUAGCUAGUUAGUGAUUUGGGUAAGUAUAUUAUGUUUAAUCCCAUCUGCAUAUUUAGUUACCCAGCUUCAUAUACAUGUGUAUAUAGGGCGUACGCAUUAUCACUUCGACAUGCAUUAUUAUAUAUUAUUAUAUAAUUGUUUGGUUGGCUCACGUCGUUUUUAUAUGUGUGUAAUGUGUAUAUAAACACAAAUUUGUGUCACACAACAAGAAAGGGCUGAAUUUUUACAAAAACAGAAAAAAAAAUAGAAAAAAAAAAAAAAAUAGAAUAAAAAAGGUAAAAAAAAAAAAAACGAAAAAAAAAAAUAUAGGCUAAACAAUGCUAAAAAAAAAAAAAAAAAAAAACGGUAUUUUCCAUUUUUAUCCAAGUUGGAAAUUUUAUUUUUUAAUACAUAACAUAUAUGUAUGUGUAGUUCUUUUUUUUUUUCACAUAAUUUUAUAUUUUUAUUGUUUAAAUUUUCAUCACAUUUUUUUUUUGGCGUUUUAAUAUUUGUUAUAGUGCUAUAAAACACUAUAAUAAAGGUACACAUCAAUACGUUCA
RNAcentral lists this long non-coding RNA (1144 nucleotides) under Piliocolobus tephrosceles (Ugandan red Colobus). Its description in RNAcentral is "lncRNA (ENSPTEG00000008941.1)". Lineage: Eukaryota; Metazoa; Chordata; Mammalia; Primates; Cercopithecidae. The record is from RNAcentral.